Pipistrellus kuhlii (Kuhl's pipistrelle) is the source of this 319-nucleotide long non-coding RNA. RefSeq lists it as uncharacterized. The transcript has 2 exons. NCBI's taxonomy places the organism in Eukaryota, Metazoa, Chordata, Mammalia, Chiroptera, Vespertilionidae. The record is from RefSeq and is a predicted model, not a curated record.
CUGGAGGGGCUGGCAGGACCGGUUGUGUGUGUAUUUUUUGACCCAGGCGUGUAGAGAGUGGUCCAGAGGGUGGGUGUGCAUCGGCAGUGUCCCCGGAUCCCUCUGUCAUUCAUCCUUUAUAAACCUGUAAAGAUAAGGGGGAACUCCCGGAGGUACGCGGUAGAAAGGAAAGUAGGAUGUUCCUGCCCUACUGUGUGUCUUAAUAUUUAACUUAUUAUGAGCUACCGUCCCAGUGGUUGUACACCUUUGCUGUUGCACACAGGAAGCCCGAUCAGUCCCAUCUCAUGAAAUUCGGCAUUUACAGUUCUCUGAGGUAGGG